This 468-nucleotide ribosomal RNA is filed under the name uncultured bacterium. RNAcentral describes it as "partial 16S ribosomal RNA". It matches the Rfam family "Bacterial small subunit ribosomal RNA", at positions 28 to 507 of the family's 1533-position model. The record is from RNAcentral.
GACGAACGCUAGCGGCGUGCUUAACACAUGCAAGUCGAACGGAAAGGCCCUGCUUUUGUGGGGUGCUAGAGUGGCGAACGGGUGAGUAACACGUGAGUAACCUGCCCUUGACUUUGGGAUAACUUCAGGAAACUGGGGCUAAUACCGGAUAGAAGCUCCUGCUGCAUGGUGGGGGUUGGAAAGUUUCGGCGGAUGGGGAUGGACUCGCGGCUUAUCAGCUUGUUGGUGGGGUAGUGGCUUACCAAGGCUUUGACGGGUAGCCGGCCUGAGAGGGUGACCGGCCACAUUGGGACUGAGAUACGGCCCAGACUCCUACGGUGGGCAGCAGUGGGGAAUAUUGCACAAUGGGCGGACGCCUGAUGCAGCAACGCCGCGUUCGGGAUGACGGCCUUCGGGUUGUAAACCGCUUUCGCCUGUGACGAAGCGUGAGUGACGGUAAUGGGUAAAGAAGCACCGGCUAACUACGUG